This 463-nucleotide ribosomal RNA is filed under the name uncultured organism. RNAcentral's name for it is "partial 16S ribosomal RNA". It matches the Rfam family "Bacterial small subunit ribosomal RNA", at positions 330 to 801 of the family's 1533-position model. The record is from RNAcentral.
CGUACACUCCUGCGGGAGGCAGCAGUGGGGAAUAUAGCACAAUGGGCGCAAGCCUGAUGCAGCGACGCCGCGUGGGGGAUGAAGGCCUUCGGGUUGUAAACUCCUUUCGCUAGGGACGAAGCUUUUUUGUGACGGUACCUAGAUAAGAAGCACCGGCUAACUACGUGCCAGCAGCCGCGGUAAUACGUAGGGUGCGAGCGUUGUCCGGAAUUACUGGGCGUAAAGGGCUCGUAGGUGGUUUGUCGCGUCGUCUGUGAAAUUCUGGGGCUUAACUCCGGGCGUGCAGGCGAUACGGGCAUAACUUGAGUGCUGUAGGGGUAACUGGAAUUCCUGGUGUAGCGGUGAAAUGCGCAGAUAUCAGGAGGAACACCGAUGGCGAAGGCAGGUUACUGGGCAGUUACUGACGCUGAGGAGCGAAAGCAUGGGUAGCGAACAGGAUUAGAAACCCUGGUAGUCCCAUGAU